GUCAUAUCUGUUCAGAAAACGAGUCCUCCAUGUUUCCAGGUAUUUCUGGGGAGACAGGCUGGUCAGGUUGGAGAAUGGCAGCAUCCCCAGCUGCUGUCCCCUGAGCACAGUGUCACCUCUCCCCACGUGCAGACCCAGCACGGAGCCGACCUCGCUAUUGCGACGUGGGCCUCAGUUCAAAGAAAAAGCAAAAGAAUUAAUGCCCAGGAGUGCAACUUCACUGAGUCCCUGUUGGAACCAGUAACCAGUGACAAGCCUUUGAGCAUUCAGUGUCAGCUCUGGAUGCUCAGCACCUUGCUGAGUGCCUUUGCAGAUUCCUUUUCUAUCUAAUUCUGGAAUGUUGUCAUAUUUAGGAAUGUCAUACUGGCCUUAAAUUAGGGUGAUGUGAAUCUGUAGCAGCUGGGUAAAUCGGUGUACUCAGUGUGCAUCAGGUUUAGAUCUUGAUCCGAUUCCUGAGCAAAGGGAAGAGGAACUUCCUCAGAACAUCAUCUGGCAGUGUCCCAGUGGAGAAUGGAGUUCAGCCCCAGAGCCUGUCACCUUCAUACUUCUGCGGCUGGUUCAGCAAGGGCUUGAGUGCUUAAACCCCGCAAGAAACAAUACGGAAUUGAAAACGGGUGAGUAAACAGGUGAGCAUCCUGAUCCCUAAACAUUUAAUUUGAUCUUCCAUACUUCAUGGAAAAGACUGUUAACUAUUGUUUUCCUUUUACCUCUCUUACCUUUUUUUAUAAUAUAUAAAUGCCCAUCUUUUCUCCUAUCAACAGAAGAAUC
RNAcentral lists this long non-coding RNA (768 nucleotides) under Calidris pugnax (ruff). Its description in RNAcentral is "lncRNA (ENSCPUG00000008869.1)". Lineage: Eukaryota; Metazoa; Chordata; Aves; Charadriiformes; Scolopacidae. The record is from RNAcentral.